GAUGAACGCUGGCGGCGUGCCUAACACAUGCAAGUCGAGCGGAGAUCUUGAAGCUUGCUUUAAAAUCUUAGCGGCGGACGGGUGAGUAACGCGUGGGUAACCUGCCCUAUACACACGGAUAACAUAUCGAAAGGUAUGCUAAUACGAGAUAAUACAUUUUGAGGGCAUCCUCAAAAUGUCAAAGAUUUUAUCGGUGUAGGAUGGACCCGCGUCCCAUUAGCUAGUUGGUGAGAUAAAAGCUCACCAAGGCGACGAUGGGUAGCCGACCUGAGAGGGUGAUCGGCCACACUGGAACUGAGACACGGUCCAG
RNAcentral lists this ribosomal RNA (310 nucleotides) under uncultured Tepidibacter sp. RNAcentral describes it as "bacterial SSU rRNA". It matches the Rfam family "Bacterial small subunit ribosomal RNA", at positions 28 to 334 of the family's 1533-position model. The record is from RNAcentral. Lineage: Bacteria; Bacillati; Bacillota; Clostridia; Peptostreptococcales; Peptostreptococcaceae.